GCGGGCGUAGCUCGGUAGGUAGAGCGCCAGCUUUCCAAGCUGGAGGCCGUAGGUUCGAAGCCUACCGUCCGCU
This 73-nucleotide transfer RNA is filed under the name Chloroflexota bacterium. RNAcentral's name for it is "tRNA-Gly". It matches the Rfam family "tRNA". From Rfam's summary of the family: Transfer RNA (tRNA) molecules are approximately 80 nucleotides in length. Their secondary structure includes four short double-helical elements and three loops (D, anti-codon, and T loops). Further hydrogen bonds mediate the characteristic L-shaped molecular structure. tRNAs have two regions of fundamental functional importance: the anti-codon, which is responsible for specific mRNA codon recognition, and the 3' end, to which the tRNAs corresponding amino acid is attached (by aminoacyl-tRNA synthetases). tRNAs cope with the degeneracy of the genetic code in two manners: having more than one tRNA (with a specific anti-codon) for a particular amino acid; and 'wobble' base-pairing, i.e. permitting non-standard base-pairing at the 3rd anti-codon position. The record is from RNAcentral. Lineage: Bacteria; Bacillati; Chloroflexota.